Molecule: unclassified non-coding RNA, 2500 nt
Filed under: Leishmania donovani
Lineage: Eukaryota; Euglenozoa; Kinetoplastea; Trypanosomatida; Trypanosomatidae
Description: gene:LdHU3.29.3710(CDS-product:kinesin_putative)
Source: RNAcentral
AAGGGAACAGGACAAAGCGGCCCAGACAAGAAAAACGCGUGCAGCAACACGCACACAGUGACACCCCGAGAGUCUCCGCUUCAUCCCACUCACCCCCAAACACAAGGUUAAUUCGAUCUAUUCAAAUCAUGUCGGACGAUGCAAAGUCGCGCGUGCAGGUCUCUCUCCGCAUUCGGCCUGCAAAGAAAGGGGCUCGGCAUAGCACUAAGGUUGUAGUGCGCGGUGCCGAGGGCGGUGAUGUCGUCGUGGAUGACGAGCAAAGGACGAAGCGUGUGUACCACUUCGACCAUGUGUUCAGUGGCGGCCAGGCGGAGGUGUUCGAGGCUAUCGGGCGGCCGAUGCUGAGGGAGGCAUACAAGGGGUUCAACGUGUGCCUGUUUGCGUACGGGCAGACGGGGAGCGGAAAGACGUACAGCCUGCUCGGGGACAUGGGGUGCGAGGAGCGCGCGGGGGUGGCGCCGCGUUUUGUGCGGUGCCUGUUCGACGAGGCGCAGCGGAUGGUGGACGAGGACGCUGACCUGACGAUCAAGGUGUCGCUGUCGAUGAUCGAGGUGUACAUGGAGAAGGUGCGCGACCUGCUUGCGCCGCGGCAGCGCGGGCAGGAGCCGGAGUCGCUGGAGAUCCACGAGGACCCGAGUCGGCGCGUGUACGUGCGUGGCGCGAGCGUGCACCAGGUGCUGAGCGCUGAGCGGAUGAUAGAGCUGCUGCAGAAGGGCAAUGCGAACCGUCAGACGGCUGAGACGAGGAUGAACGAAACGAGCUCGCGGUCGCACGCGAUCAUGCAGAUCUCGCUGUCGCAGGAGUUCGCGUGUGUGAAAAAGAAGGACUUGGAGUGCGUUGUGUCGCUGGUGGACCUUGCGGGGAGCGAGCGGCAGACGAAGACAGAGUCGAGCGGGCAGCAGUUUGAGGAGGCAAAGAAGAUCAACCACUCACUGCUGAUGCUCGGGCGCGCGCUGAACUCCUUCAGCGAUCGCAAGGGCAGCGACGCCUUCAUCUCGCUGCGCGAGUCGAAGCUGACGCGGCUGCUGUCGGAGAGCUUUGGCGGGAACAGCAAGACGUGGAUGCUGGCGACGGUGUCACCGACCGCGUUCAAUCUGACGGAGUCCAUCUCCACGCUGGACUACGCCACCAACGCGAUGGCCAUCACAAACAAGGCGAAGGUGAACAGUGUCUUCAAGAGCCUGGAGCUGAAGGAGCUGAAGGCGGUUGUGUCAAGCUUAGAGAAGCAGCUGGAGAGUCUAGCGGCGGCGCGGGAUGCAAAGGAGGUGGAUGUGGCGAUACUGCAGGAGGAGCGGGAGGCGCUUCGUCUUGCUGUUCAUACCGCCCGCUCGCAAGACACCGCUGCGCAGCGGCUGCAAAGUACAGUGCAGCAUAUACAGCUCGGCAACAUUGCCCUUCGACGUCGAGUCGAGGCCGCCGAGAAGCGUAUGAUUUGGUCUCUAGACAACGAAGCCUCAUUUCUCUUUUACAAAGGCCGUUGCGCCAUUUCACUGCGGGGCGUGCUGCGUGGUGAGAAGUGGGCGUACCGCCUCGCACUACUAGCCGAAAACGGUCAGGCGACAUCUUCCACCUUGCAUGUGCAAGUAUUCUCCCUGAACAAAGACCUUACAGUGCUCGAGGAUCCAAUGGAGAUGGUGGGGCGGAGUAUUAAGUUCUGCCUGCGGAUAGUCGGUGCUGAGGGCCUCCCGCCGCAGUUCUGCCGACACUCGUUUUGCAAGCUCUCGCUGCUAUUCGAUCAGGAUAACCGCUACUUCACCACGAGCACUGCGGAGGACACUACAAAUCCGCGCUGGGAUCUCGUAAAGCGGUUUGAGCUGCCGCAUUUGACACCGGAGGUGAUUGCGCACUUUAACACUCAUCAUCUGUUUACGUUCGAGGUGUUUGGGUUUAGUACGUAGUGGAGAAAAUGUUGUUAGGGAGACAGCAGAGGUUUUGGCCCACACAUGUACCCCGCGCCAGACCUCACCUUCUUACCCCGUUGGCAUAAUACGAUGAUACGAUGAGACACUCUUGCUUCACUGUGCGCGCCCUUUCUGUGGUUGAGUGUGUUGUGUGUGCAUCACGGCCUCUGUGCUGCGUUUUCUUCCUUCUCCUCCGCUCAUAGCUGGCUCCGCUCUUUUUUCGGCAUUUUACACAUUUGUUUUGUUUCGCCUUUUCCUGUACUUGGCGGUCGUUUUCUUUUCGCCGUGUGUUUGUUGUGGCCAUUUAUGGGCCGGCGUGCCGCUUUGUGGUGUUGUGUUGCAUAUGCUGCUCGUCUCCCUCUCUCGCCUCCGUUUGCAUGAGAUAGCAUUUGCUCGCUUUUCUUUCACCGCCUCCUUUGCGCUCGUCUCUUCCCCCUCUCCCCUCGAAGGGUACACUUGCUCCAUGUCUGUCUCUUUCUGUCUCCCUUUCUUCCUCCUAUUGUGUUUCAUCAUCGCUCCACACGCGUUUUCUCACUUUCGUCUCGCUCGACCGCCCUCUCUCCCCCCUUUUCACGCGAGUGCCGCUUACCGCACGCCAG